UUCUGCUCUUCCUUCCUGGACCCAGGCUUAUAGCUCUCCUUUUCAAUCUUAUUAACAAGUAGGAAUGCUAAUCUAGUAAGAAUACAUUUAGGGGCAACAUUUACCCACUGAUAUAGCUGGACAGAAUCUCAAAAUACUCAACAGCCCGAAGGUAUCACCCUGGACAGCAGCCGGCACGGUGGCGUCAGGGGGCCGCAGCCGCUACCAGCACUGCUCUAGUGCAGGACGCGUGGCCAGAGCAGAACAAGGAAACUCAAGGAAUCCGUUCGUCUAAGUGAUCCAGUCUGCUGGCAGGAAGGCCCGUCUUUGACCGAUUCUGCGGGUGUCGCAACGCGAGAGAGGCGCAGGCUCCGUGUCUCCUGACGGGGCGGCGUGGCUUCUCUCCCUUCUCUUGCCUCCGUCUCUGUCCCGUUCAGGUCCCUGCUGUCUCCGCACCGAGCUUUGCCGGGGAUGGGGGGUGCUCUGGGCUCGGGGGCUCAGGCCUGGCCUCCGGAUUUGGAGAGCGGAACACGCAGACCCCGUCCCGCUUUGGGCUUCUGCCGUCUGACUCAUGGCCCUUCCAUUCGGACCGCGGCUGCUUUAGGCCUGUUUUCAAGGCCAUCAGGAGCCCGCGUGAUCCCCUCUGUUGCUGUCACACAAUGAUGCCAGGAGAAUUCUGCUGGACGGCUGGAGAGAGUAGGGGCCCCGAGCGCCUGGCAUCGGGAGGGGCUGGAGGACGGGUCGUGCACAGCAAACCCGCGUCCCCGAGGGAAGCGCUACGCCAACGUCCCGUGUUUUUCACACACACACUGAUCGACUGGGAAGAGGAAUUUCUCCUGGACCGUUUUUUUUUUUCUUUUCUAAGUG
Mustela erminea (ermine) is the source of this 846-nucleotide long non-coding RNA. RefSeq lists it as uncharacterized. Lineage: Eukaryota; Metazoa; Chordata; Mammalia; Carnivora; Mustelidae. The transcript is spliced from 3 exons. The record is from RefSeq and is a predicted model, not a curated record.